UCUUACAAGUGCUCCCAGGGUCUCUGGGACUUCCAGCAGCUGGAAGUGGGCCCCUCGCAGCCCCCGCCUCCAUUCCAGGUGAAGCAGGGUGCCCUGCAAUGGGCUGGGCGUGUGCCCACGGCUGAAAGCUGGGCUGCUUUGAAGGCACCAGAUUGGAAUUCAGGGGAAGUGAAAGCAAGAGGAAUCGAAGUGCUUUACUUAUUGGGAAGGCCAAUAAGAAUAACGAAGGACUUCAUCUGGCACUUUUAUUAACACCAGGCACAUCUACAUGUGUAAAUGCUGCUGGAUGGGUUUACUCCUCGGAAAUUUGACAGCAGCGUGCCCUGGCCAGGACACUUCUGAGCAUGCCUCACCCACCUGGACACACAGAAGAGUGCUGGGAAAAAUGCUCCAUUAUGGCCAUCUGCAACUGCUCCUGAGAUCUCAGUCUCUUUCAUGCUUAAGAGUGGCAGCUGGAGAACACCCUGAAGCAGCCUCACUAGUGUACUUCUGGCUUUGCAGUUUGGGUAUAGCAUUCGUGUGGAUGCUCUGCUGUGCUACUGCAUUGUAGACAUGUCCCAUGGACCUCUGAGUGUUCCACCACCGCACUCACCUUAUUGUGACAUCUCUUACAUGCUGUGUAUUUUCUACCCAAGUCUUGCCAUAUUCCCUCCUGCCUUAAGCUGGGGACCUAGAAGAAGUAAUUAUUGCAAGUUUUGUUAUAGAGAAAAUAUUACUAAUGGCAGCAUUGUCAAGAAUGAAAACUCAGAGAAAUCACAAGACUACCAUAAAAUUCAUGACAUUUAAAAAAAAAAGACUACAUCUUGAGUAAUUUUAAUUGCCAACUGGUUUCUGGGUUAUGUACUUGCUUAAUCCUUCAUACAAACAUGAGUGAGGCAGUGGGAUAGACUGCCUAGGGAAGUUGUGGACUCAAACACUGGAGGUACUCAAGAAGAGGUUGGACGGCUUCUGGUCAGGGAUGAUCUCGGCAUAGCUAUGUCUGUGUUCUACUAUGGAUAUUUCCUGUGCUUCUAGGUUUUGCUGGUUGCCCCUGCCCCCCUCCCCUGCUUUCUACUAUAUGUGUCAGGGUGUUUUUAAGCUUUCCUCAGAGGCAUUAGGUGUUGGCUACAGCCAAGGCUGGGGACUUUGGCUGGGUUGUGCCAGUGCUCUUGCUUGACCAAAGCCAGAGGUUCCUAGCAGAGGGUCUUGCCCCUCCAGGCAGGGUCAUACCAAUCAUCAUAUUGGAGAGCAGGAAGGAAUUUUACCUCAUGGGAAGAUUGGUGUGGACUGUGGGGGGUUUCGAUCUCCUCUGUAGCUGGGAGUAUAACCCUCUACCCAAGAUCUCUUGAGCAUAUAUUGACAAUAUUUCAUAGAAGCAGGGUAUUAGCUGCUGUGGUUCCCCUGCUUUACCUGUGGCAGGCUAGAAUGUUAGGUUUGUGUUAUGUCAGAGUUAUGUCUUAUGUAGAGUUAUGUCUUAUGUUUAAAUUAUGGUUUGUAUGGGAUGGCGUGGAUAGGAAUGAUCCUGCCUCAGGCAGGGGGUUCGACUAGAUGACCUCUGGAGGUGCCUUCCAUCCCUAUUUCCCUAUGAUUAUAUCAUUUUAUGAUUCUAUGAGGAAUAGGGUACAAAAUAUUGGAUCCAGGCUAGCUCCUAUACUGGAAGCAAAGUAACCAUGUAAAUGCAGUGCUGUACCUGUGCCAAUAUGCUCUGCUGAAGAACAUCAAGACUCACAAUAAAAUUAUGGGAAUGGGGCAGUGCUGUACUAGUAAAUACAUUUGUUCUACUGAGUCCCUCAGUAUUGCAGAUUUAACAACUCCAACAUACUCUCUUUAGGGCAAAAGGACUCAGGGGAAGAUCCCUUUGCAUCCUGCAUUAAGAACUGAAAGCACAAGCGUGUAGCUGUGUGGCCUACAUUAUAUGAAGCAGAGCAUUGCCCUCAAGAGCAAUAGGUUCCCCAUUGAAUGGUUGAAAUGAGCCAUUAUGCAAGCUGUCAGUGUUGAUGAUGUAUCUUUAUUUUAGACAUCCUUCAAUGAAAGUCAAGCUAAACCCUAUUGUACCAUAUUUUAGAUUGCUUAAGAUAUUGUGGUGCCAGUUUUCAUUAUUAUUGAUGCUAAACACUUUAAGAAUAUUUCUGGCUUGUAUAAAAGGUCUUGAAAUAUUUCAAUGAUUUAUGAAGCAAAUAGCCUUGCUGGAUAUCUGUGAAAUGCCCCUGAUGGAUUCAGUGAAUGCAGAAGUAAGCGCCCAUUAUGUUACCUAGAACAUAGUAUCUUACUGGUUUUUGUUCCAUUAACAAGCUGUGAAAAAGUCAUGACAGUGCUUUUAGCUGUAAAACAUUUUAGAGUGUACUCUGUUUUUAGAAGAUUUGUACUCUGUUUUUAGAAGAUUAAUUCUACCUGAAAUAGCGUGGCAAAUGAUAAACAACUUAAAAGACAGAGGAGGUAUCAUAUUACUACUCAAAAGAGGCUUGGAUCAUGUGUUGUGUAGCAUCUCAGAAAAAAUGUUACCAUAUCACAGGAUAGGAUUUAACUUGUUUGCACUGCUGGACUUGCCAGACUCUCCUCUCAGAACAGAGUUCAGAAAAGUGAAAUAAUUUCCUUCCUGGGUAAAAACAUAAUCUGAAAAAAAACCUCCUACUUUUCCCCCUCUGAGCAUCCUACCAACCAUUUUCACUGAUUCCUGGGAUAACCUCCUCCUCACAAUAACCCUCAGUGCCCUCUGUCUGCUUGUAUAUAAAAUGGCUGAGCUUGGUUUUCCCAGAACUUUAACCUUCUUCUGUCUGUUCCAUAAAUGUUGCCAAUUUUCAUGAGAAAGGGAGGAGUUUUGAAUGGAGUCUAUUAUCAGUUGGCCAAAGCAAGCUGGUAAUUAGUGACUGGGUUGUAUAGUUGAAGGUCUGGUCUAUACGAUCUCUGUGUGUCAGCAUUUAGAACAAAAGCUCACACGUGCAGACACAGAUGCACUCACGCGUGCGCGCGCACGCGCACACACACACACACACACACACUCUUUUUUAUAUCAGAAAAGCUCAUCUUGGUAUGCUUGGCUGGCUGGACCUAAACUUGAGUGCCUGGAUAUAUAGCUCAUAAUAAAUACCAUUGCAUAACAUGAAUUGUAAAGAAAUAGUUUCCCUUUUUUCCAAUACACUGAGGAGGGACAGGAAACAUUGUAUUAGACCAUGUGUAGAUGAAAUGAGGGGCGUGUAUACAUGACACUUAAAAGUGGGCUAAAUGCUUUUGCAUUGCUUUAAUGGUGUCGGUGUUUGCACACCUCAGUGGCAUAUUGCACGUUAAUUCCAGCCGCUGUAGGAAAUUCAGCAGUGUAAUACGCCUUAAAUGACUUGAGGAGCUGCAAACUAAAACUCCUCAAAGGAGUGCGAAGCACUGGGCUCUGUGCAGCUCCAUGGCUCUGCAGGAAGCCCUGCAGGCAGCCUGGCAGCAGCCCAGGAAGGCAAGCUCUGCCCAAGAAAAGUGGCGAGCCUGAUGUUCCCCCCACACCCUGGAGACUGCCUGAGCUGCAUGGAAGCUGCUUCCCUCCGCAGCUGUGGUGCCUCUUAGGACCGCCUUAGCCGGGUGCCUGCAGGUGGGUGCCACCUGAGGGGGGCUGCUGCUGCCAAGAAGGGAAGCACCAGCCCCCCUACUGCAACCCAGGAACCGCUCUGCCCGCCGGCAGCUCGCCCUCCCCUUCCUGCCAUCGGAGAAGCAGGUAAGUGCAGGGUACGUGCAUGACACGGGGGUUCAUUUCACCCUAAAUUGAAGCGUUGGUUUUAAAAACGUUAAUUUACACACACCCUUAAAGAAACUGUAGUUUAAACACCAGUGAGCAAACUGAUUAUUUUUGCGCACCUAAUUUUGCAUACUUGAAGCCAUGGGACAUGUAAAAUCAUAGUUGUCCAAAACACUUGGUUGCUCAAAUUUAGAGGCUAGUUUUGUAAAAUGGAUGCAAAAAGUCCACAGUGAAAUUGGAAACAUUUUUCAGAUGACUCCAAUGUGAGAUGUGAAUUCAAGGACAGCGGCUCUUCUGUUAUAUGCGCAUACCAUACUUUAUAGACUGUGUAAACUUGCUUAUCCAUGAACUACUAUAAUUCAUGAUAGAUUAUUAAAAAUACAUGAAAGAUAUUAAGAACUGCAUAGAUUACUGAAAGGAUUUUAAAA
Molecule: long non-coding RNA, 4125 nt
Organism: Alligator mississippiensis (American alligator)
Lineage: Eukaryota; Metazoa; Chordata; Crocodylia; Alligatoridae
Exons: 3
Source: RefSeq, a predicted model, not a curated record